CGCCGCCCCAGGCACUUCCGGGGAGGUGCUUCCGGGUCGCCGUGUGCCCAGCGCUGCCGGGUCCCGCGGCGGCCCCUGGCCCGGAAGCGGCUGCGCGGCCGCCGGCGGGGGGAGGAGGCGGAGGCGCCCGGCCCGGCGCGGCUCCGCGGAGCGGUAGCGCCGGCGAGGCCUGUACAUACAUCCAUGGAACAAGAUGGAGAGAAGAUAGUAUAGUGAAGUGGUGGGCUUGUGGACAGGAUGGCUUUCCUGGACAACCCAACAAUUAUACUUGCUCAUAUUCGGCAGUCACAUGUGACCAGUGACGAUACAGGGAUGUGUGAAAUGGUCCUGAUAGAUCAUGAUGUCGACCUAGAGAAGUUUAAUCCCUCGUCAACAUAUGGGGACAGUUCAGAAACACAGGGAAGCAAUGGUGAGACUCAGGGCUAUAUUUAUUCCCAAUCAGUCGAUAUUACCUCAAGCUGGGACUUUGGAAUUAGAAGACGAUCAAACACAGCUCAGAGACUAGAACGUCUGCGGAAAGAGAGACAAAAUCAAAUAAAAUGCAAAAAUGUUCAGUGGAAAGACAGAAAUACUUCUUACUCAGCAGAGGAGCUGAGCUCACUAUUUGAAAAAAAGAAUUUCAGAGUAAAAUCUCCAUGUUCUGGGAAGCAGUCAAUACUGUCUGUGCGACUUGAACAGUGUCCACUACAGCUGAAUAACCCUUUCAAUGAGUACUCAAAAUUUGAUGGCAAGGGUCAUGUUGGUACAACUGCAACCAAAAAAAUUGACGUCUACCUCCCACUGCACGCAAGCCAAGACAAACUGCAGCCUAUGACCGUUGUGACGAUAGCGAACGCCAAGGUGCAUGACCUGAUUGGACUAAUAUGCUGGCAAUAUACAAGUGAGGGACGGGAACCAAAACUAAAUGACAACGUCAAUGCCUACUGUCUCCAUAUUGCCGAGGAUGAUGGUGAGGUUGACACAGAUUUUCCACCUUUGGAUUCCAAUGAGCCCAUUCACAAGUUUGGCUUCAGCACUCUGGCAUUGGUUGAAAAGUACUCGUCUCCCGGCCUGGCAGCAAAACAGUCGCUCUUUGUUCGCAUAAAUGCUGCUCAUGGAUUCUCACUUAUUCAAGUGGACAGUAUGAAGGUCACCAUGAAGGAUAUCUUACAAAAGGCCUUAAAGAGAAGGAAGGGAUCACAAAGAGGCUCAGGUCCUCAGUAUCGGCUGGAGAAGCAGAGUGAACCUAAUGUCCCCGUAGAUUUAGACUGUACCUUGGAGAGCCAGAGCACUUUGGAAUUCUGCCUUGUCCGAGAGAACAGUUCAAGAGGAGAAGAGAUCUCGGAGGAGGACCCUCAAAUCGAUAUAGCUACAGUUCAGGAUAUGCUUAGUAGCCACCAUUACAAGUCCUUCAAAGUCAGCAUGAUCCAUCGGCUUCGAUUCACCACUGAUGUUCAGUUAGGUAUUUCUGGAGACAAGGUAGAGAUAGACCCUGUUACUAAUCAGAAGGCCAGCACGAAGUUUUGGAUUAAGCAGAAACCCAUUUCAAUCGAUUCUGAACUCCUCUGUGCCUGUGACCUUGCGGAAGAAAAAAGCCCAAGAGGCUAAGGACGGCGCCCGGGUCACUGCCUCCCGGAGCAGCUGUCCUGCACGUGUCCCCUGCCGUAGGGCAGAAACCGGCACUGCUUUUGCUCUAGCACGGGAGAGAUGGCCGAUUCGACCACGUAGGUUCGGCGUUGAUUUGUCAGGUUUCAUCCACCGGAGAAGGUGGCUGGCAGCGAAUCCGUCUGCCCGGCUGGAGGAGCAGCCAGCUUGGUCAAGGCGUUGCUGUCCGCGUCGGGUGGCGGGGGCGAGAGCAGCUCCGGCCUCGGUGCUGCGCAACUUAGCCAAAACUUAUUAAAUACCUCCAAGAGUCAAUAGCCUUUUCAUAAAAGUACUCUGGAGCACAAUCAGGAGCGUGCAUUGCCUCAUCCUUUUAACAAAUAUGUUUUGUAGCCCUAUUAAAAGGGGUCUUCAUCUAUCCUGUCAAAGCUAGUCUGCUGGGGUUUUUUAGUUUAAUUACACUAUCCAAUUAAAACUCCGUGCUGCAUUUUGAUGCGCUUCUCCUUGGGCUUGAGUGGAGAUGACAUUUACAAGGCUCGCCUUCCGAGCAGACAAUGGCGUGAUUGAUGAGGUGCAGGCGCCGGGAAGGAGGCGAUUGCCAUGUGGAAACUCUGCUUAGUGCCUUUUGAUUUAUUUAUCAUCUCCUUCCAAAACAAGGUUGCUGGUGAAGAGGUUUUGGGCAAGCCUCGGUUCCUCCUCAAUUUUCACCAUUCUUGAAAAAAUCUUUAUUAGUUUUCUGCCUUUGAUAAUAAUUGAAUGAAGAAAUAAAAGGCUUUGAAAAAAGAUUCCAGAUGUGUGAAUAGUUACCGUAAUUUGACAUUAAACUGGUCAUACGCUGCACUUUCUUAAUUGCAACUCUGCUUUCAGGACAUCUGGAAACAAGGCAUCCACUAAUAGCAAUGUUUUAUAAUGUGCCUAUGGUAGAAUAUAAAGAUCUGAGUUGUGGGGAAAGUGUUCUGGAAAUACGCUGCUCCUGGAAAAACGGAAUGGGCCAGUAAAACUACAGCUUUCCUUUAACUCUCCCCGGUGCAUCACUCUUGCAUCUGUAUGGUUUGUCCCUACUCCAGCGCUGCCUGUGUCGAAGGGGUGGUCAGGUUUGCGGUGCAGGAUCCCAGCUCUCCAAGUCGGUACGUUUUCCAUUGACGUCGGUGGGGUCGGGAUUUCAUCCGUAGCUUCUACGGUAGUCGCUACUUUUGAGGUACAGAUCAGCUCUAAAAAAUGCACCCACUUCUCUUGGAGAAAUAUCCAUUACACAAAAUGGGCUUAACCCCACGUUUUGCACUCAGAGCAAUAUCCCCAGUAGAUCUGUAUCGCUGAUGGAGCUCGGGACUGUGCCCCUGCUAGACCUAGCUGCUGCUGUGGUGCAGCUAAGACUCGUAGCAUCGCCCUAGGCGCAUAAGAGAAGUAAAUGCGUCUCUUUUAUAAAGCAAGAUUUUUGCAGUAAUGGAAAGGAGACAGGGGCUAAUGAGUAGAUGCAGGGAUGGGGCUGCCGGAGGCAGGUGUCGGGGUCCAGGUGCCCCUGUUACCGCAAGUUUUGCGGGUGAGGUGCCCAGGGAAGGGACGGUGCCCAGCGCUGCUGCCCGUCCUCCUCACGUGGGUCGGGCCCUUUCGUCCACUAGUCUCAAACAACAAGAAAAUGGAUUCUCUAAAUGAGUGGUUUUCUGCAAGAAACUUUUCCUCCUGUUAUUUGUAAGUUUUCUUGUUCAUUAGACGUUUAUGAAAGCUGUUGUUUUGAUGCUAAUGCAAUACUUGCAUUUUUGUGGGACCUUCAGACCCUAUUCCAGGGUCAGAGCAUCAUUUUUUGAAGCAUCAUAUAUGGAUUCAAAAUAGCAGAGUUCCUCCCCAGAGCUUUUAGAUUAAAUAUAACACUGGUUGAUGGAGAAAUAUUAUAUCAUUUCAUUUGGAAAGUUUUAAGUAAAUUUACUUUUAUUUUAUUUUCAUGAUUCCUAGCCUGUUUACUAGUGUAUUUUUAACUCUUUGCAAUCCCUUCCAAGUCUGUGAGAAAAAGAACUCAAGAUUUAGUCCUGUCGAAGUAACCCACUUUUGAAAUGGUGAAAAGCUGCAGUCCUGUCGAAUGAUGGCCGUGUAACCCACACGGGGACUCAUUAGCAUUCGAAGGUUAGAAAAGAUUUAUCAAAAACAGAGCUAAGGUCAAAGGGCGCCUGCGCCAGCUCUCUCCGGCAGUGAAGAGGAUGGAGGGGCUCGGUGAAGCAGCAGCUAACCAAGACGGAGGUCAUGCAAUAUUUAAACUUACAUAUCUAAGCAAUCAUGACUACAAACACCUUUACUUUGAAUCAGAUGCUGCUACCGUCAAUGAAAUUGUGCUGAAGGUGAACUACAUCCUGGAGUCGCGAGCGAGCACGGCCAGAGCAGAGUAUUUUGCUCAGAAACAAAGAAAACUGA
Molecule: RNA transcript, 3984 nt
Organism: Dromaius novaehollandiae (emu)
Lineage: Eukaryota; Metazoa; Chordata; Aves; Casuariiformes; Dromaiidae
Gene: MAPKAP1
Gene name: MAPK associated protein 1
Exons: 14
Source: RefSeq, a predicted model, not a curated record